RNAcentral lists this ribosomal RNA (200 nucleotides) under uncultured bacterium. Its description in RNAcentral is "partial 16S ribosomal RNA". It matches the Rfam family "Bacterial small subunit ribosomal RNA", at positions 326 to 539 of the family's 1533-position model. The record is from RNAcentral.
ACGCUCGACACUUACGGAGGCAGCAGUGGGGAAUAUUGGGCAAUGGGCGCAAGCCUGACCCAGCAACGCCGCGUGAAGGAAGAAGGCUUUCGGGUUGUAAACUUCUUUUCUCAGGGACGAAGAAAGUGACGGUACCUGAGGAACAAGCCACGGCUAACUACGUGCCAACAGCCGCGGUAAUCUGAGCGGGCUGGCAAGGC